Molecule: ribosomal RNA, 464 nt
Filed under: uncultured bacterium
Lineage: Bacteria
Description: partial 16S ribosomal RNA
Rfam family: Bacterial small subunit ribosomal RNA
Source: RNAcentral
CCUACGGGAGGCAGCAGUAGGGAAUGUUCGUCAAUGGGCGCAAGCCUGAACGAGCGAUGCCGCGUGAGUGAAGAAGGCCUUCGGGUCGUAAAGCUCUGUUGAGGGGGAAAAAAGGCAGCAUCAGGAAAUGGGUGCAGACUGAUGGUGCCACGCCAGAAAGACACGGCUAACUCCGUGCCAGCAGCCGCGGUAAUACGUAGGUGGCGAGCUUUAUCCGGAAUGAUUGGGGUUAAAGGGUGCGCAGGCGGAUUUUUAAGUCAGCGGUCAAAUCGUGGGGCUCAACCCCAUCCAGCCGUUGAAACUUGGGAUCUAGAGUGUGCGAGAGGUAUGCCGCAUGCGUGGUGUAGCGGUGAAAUGCAUAGAUAUCACGCAGAACCCCGAUUGCGACGGCAGCCUACCGGUGCACAACUGACGCUCCGGCACGAACGCGUGGGUAUCGCACAGGAUUAGAUACCCUAGUAGUC